This 201-nucleotide non-coding RNA is filed under the name Nitrospirota bacterium. Lineage: Bacteria; Pseudomonadati; Nitrospirota. The record is from RNAcentral.
UAAUUGAGUAACCUCUCGGAUGCCCGCAAGGGCGUAACAGGGAAGUCCGGUGAGAAACCGGCGCGGUCCCGCCACUGUAAGUGGGAAGCAACCUCCAUUCAAGCCACUCGACGAACUCGUCGCGGAAGGCUGGGGGAAGCGUUGAAGGACUGACCUUCAGAACCUACGAGCCAGGAGACCUAUCCGAGGUGACAGAGCAUU